GGAUGUGAAGGCUAUCUGACUGUCAGCCUAUUGAUUACCAGUGUUGAUUUGGCUGAUCUGGGUGGCUAGACAGGUGUCCCUUUCCUCUCUCUCUGUUCUACAUGCAUUCCCCCCUGAAGCUGCACUCUUCAGUCAGAGAAGACAACCUUUCCCUAUACAGAGGGACUGUUCUUCAAUCGAGGGUUUACAGGUAGCUGUGCUCCCUGUUGGAACCUCCAGACAAACUCCCCAGAGGAAAGGGUUAUUUUGAGGUUAUCCCUGGUUGGUGGGCCCCAUUGCUUUAGGGCCUGCGUGGUGAGGAGGGCUCUGAAG
Molecule: small nuclear RNA, 312 nt
Filed under: Marmota monax (woodchuck)
Lineage: Eukaryota; Metazoa; Chordata; Mammalia; Rodentia; Sciuridae
Rfam family: 7SK RNA
About the family: 7SK was discovered as an abundant small nuclear RNA in the mid-70s but a possible function has only recently been suggested. Two independent studies have found that 7SK RNA binds the CDK9/cyclin T complex (known as elongation factor P-TEFb).
Source: RNAcentral